RNAcentral lists this ribosomal RNA (468 nucleotides) under uncultured bacterium. Its description in RNAcentral is "partial 16S ribosomal RNA". It matches the Rfam family "Bacterial small subunit ribosomal RNA", at positions 28 to 507 of the family's 1533-position model. The record is from RNAcentral.
GACGAACGCUGGCGGCGUGCUUAACACAUGCAAGUCGAACGGAAAGGCCCUGCUUUUGUGGGGUGCUCGAGUGGCGAACGGGUGAGUAACACGUGAGUAACCUGCCCUUGACUUUGGGAUAACUUCAGGAAACUUGGGCUAAUACCGGAUAGGAGCUCCUGCUGCAUGGUGGGGGUUGGAAAGUUUCGGCGGUUGGGGAUGGACUCGCGGCUUAUCAGCUUGUUGGUGGGGUAGUGGCUUACCAAGGCUUUGACGGGUAGCCGGCCUGAGAGGGUGACCGGCCACAUUGGGACUGAGAUACGGCCCAGACUCCUACGGGAGGCAGCAGUGGGGAAUAUUGCACAAUGGGCGGAAGCCUGAUGCAGCAACGCCGCGUGCGGGAUGACGGCCUUCGGGUUGUAAACCGCUUUCGCCUGUGACGAAGCGUGAGCGACGGUAAUGGGUAAAGAAGCACCGGCUAACUACGUG